RNAcentral lists this ribosomal RNA (332 nucleotides) under uncultured bacterium. RNAcentral's name for it is "bacterial SSU rRNA". It matches the Rfam family "Bacterial small subunit ribosomal RNA", at positions 568 to 898 of the family's 1533-position model. The record is from RNAcentral.
CGCGUAGGCGGGAUGGCAAGUCGGUCGUGAAAUCCUUCGGCUCAACCGAAGAACGUCGAUCGAUACUGCUGUUCUUGAGGAUUGCAGAGGAGACUGGAAUUCCCGGUGUAGCGGUGAAAUGUGUAGAGAUCGGGAGGAACACCGGUGGCGAAGGCGGGUCUCUGGGCAAUUCCUGACGCUGAGGCGCGAAAGCGUGGGGAGCAAACGGGAUUAGAUACCCCGGUAGUCCACGCUGUAAACGAUGACGACUAGGUGUGGGGGGGUUCAGUCCCCUCCAUGCCGCAGCUAACGCAUUAAGUCGUCCGCCUGGGGAGUACGGCCGCAAGGUUGAA